AGAGUUUGAUCCUGGCUCAGGAUGAACGCUAGCGGCAGGCCUAAUACAUGCAAGUUGAACGGUAGAUAAUCUUUCGGGAUUGUUGAGAGUAGCGCACGGGUGCGUAACGCGUAUGAAACCUACCCUAUACAGGGGGAUAGCCCGGAGAAAUCUGGAUUAAUACCCCAUAGUAUUGUUUGACCGCAUGGUUGAAUGAUUAAAGAUUCAUCGGUAUAGGAUGGUCAUGCGUCUGAUUAGCUAGUUGGGGAGGUAACGGCUCACCAAGGCGACGAUACAUAGCCGACC
RNAcentral lists this ribosomal RNA (285 nucleotides) under Heterosigma akashiwo. Its description in RNAcentral is "partial Bacterial small subunit ribosomal RNA". It matches the Rfam family "Bacterial small subunit ribosomal RNA", at positions 8 to 292 of the family's 1533-position model. Lineage: Eukaryota; Raphidophyceae; Chattonellales; Chattonellaceae. The record is from RNAcentral.